GCCACCGCGCCCGGCUGUACUUAUAGCGGCGGUGCCCAGCGCGUCGCGUCCCUCCGCAGGCCCCGGCCGCGGCGUCCCAGAGUCCCGAGGUGAAGGUGCCAUGGAGCGGCCGGCGCCCCUGGCCGUGCUCCCUUUCUCGGACCCCGCACACGCCCUGAGCCUGCUGCGCGGCCUGAGCCAGCUCCGCGCAGAGCGCAAGUUCCUGGACGUGACCCUGGAGGCGGCGGGCGGGCGCGACUUCCCAGCGCACCGCGCCGUGCUGGCGGCCGCCAGCCCCUACUUCCGCGCCAUGUUCGCUGGGCAGCUGCGCGAGAGCCGCGCAGAACGGGUGCGCCUGCACGGCGUGCCACCCGACAUGCUGCAGCUGCUGCUGGACUUCAGCUACACGGGCCGCGUGGCCGUGAGCGGCGACAACGCCGAGCCGCUGCUGCGCGCCGCGGACCUGCUGCAGUUCCCGGCCGUGAAGGAGGCGUGCGGCACCUUCCUGCAGCAGCAGCUCGACCUGGCCAACUGCCUGGACAUGCAGGACUUCGCGGAGGCCUUCAGCUGCGCGGGGCUGGCGAGCGCGGCACAGCGCUUCAUCCUGCGCCACGUGGGCGAGCUGGGUGCUGAGCAGCUGGAGCGGUUGCCUCUGGCGCGCCUGCUGCGCUACCUGCGCGACGACGGGCUUUGCGUGCCCAAGGAGGAGGCGGCCUACCAGCUGGCUCUGCGCUGGGUGCGCGCGGACCCACCGCGCCGCGCCGCGCACUGGCCACAGCUGCUGGAGGCAGUUCGCCUGCCCUUCGUGCGCCGCUUCUACCUGCUGGCGCACGUCGAGGCUGAGCCGCUGGUGGCGCGCUGCCCACCCUGCCUGCGCCUACUACGCGAGGCGCGCGACUUCCAGGCGGCGCGCUACGACCGCCACGACCGCGGGCCCUGUCCCCGCAUGCGCCCGCGCCCCUCUACCGGCCUUGCUGAGAUCCUCGUGCUUGUGGGCGGCUGUGACCAGGAUUGCGACGAACUGGUCACGGUUGACUGCUACAACCCACAGACUGGCCAGUGGCGCUACUUGGCCGAGUUCCCCGACCACCUGGGCGGGGGCUAUAGCAUCGUGGCUCUGGGCAAUGACAUCUAUGUGACGGGUGAGUGCGCUGGGGGCUGCCCAGGGGAAGCCCACCACCUUUCCAGGAGACAGCCGCAGAACCUGGACUCGAGGGCCCACCUGAGUCUAAGCCAGAGCCUGGACAACUGCGUUUCUCCAAUUACUUUCAACCUAAAAUUGCGCCUUACGUGAGCAGUGGCAGAGAGCUUG
This 1291-nucleotide long non-coding RNA is filed under the name Marmota monax (woodchuck). Lineage: Eukaryota; Metazoa; Chordata; Mammalia; Rodentia; Sciuridae. The record is from RNAcentral.